This 475-nucleotide ribosomal RNA is filed under the name uncultured organism. RNAcentral describes it as "partial 16S ribosomal RNA". It matches the Rfam family "Bacterial small subunit ribosomal RNA", at positions 335 to 801 of the family's 1533-position model. The record is from RNAcentral.
ACUCCUACGGGAGGCAGCAGUGGGGAAUUUUGGACAAUGGGCGAAAGCCUGAUCCAGCAAUGCCGCAUGAGUGAAGAAGGCCUUCGGGUUGUAAAGCUCUUUUGUCAGGGAAGAAACGGUGAAAGCUAAUAUCUUUUGCUAAUGACGGUACCUGAAGAAUAAGCACCGGCUAACUACGUGCCAGCAGCCGCGGUAAUACGUAGGGUACAAGCGUUAAUCGGAAUUACUGGGCGUAAAGCGUGCGCAGGCGGUUUUGUAAGUCUGAUGUGAAAUCCCCGGGCUCAACCUGGGAAUUGCAUUGGAGACUGCAAGGCUAGAAUCUGGCAGAGGGGGGUAGAAUUCCACGUGUAGCAGUGAAAUGCGUAGAUAUGUGGAGGAACACCGAUGGCGAAGGCAGCCCCCUGGGUCAAGAUUGACGCUCAUGCACGAAAGCGUGGGGAGCAAACAGGAUUAGAAACCCGAGUAGUCCCAUGAU